Molecule: ribosomal RNA, 808 nt
Filed under: Nematoda sp. HJ-2018
Lineage: Eukaryota; Metazoa; Nematoda
Also listed under: 1 other name
Description: partial large subunit ribosomal RNA
Rfam family: Eukaryotic large subunit ribosomal RNA
Source: RNAcentral
CCCCUAGGGAAAGUUGAAAAGAACUUUGAAGAGAGAGUUCAAAAGGGCGUGAAACCGCUUAGAAUAAAACGGACGGAGCCGUCAGGAGCUCUCGAGACUCAGUCGUCUAAUAGGCGAAAAUACUCGCGUUCUCCAGAGCGUAAAGUCUGAGACGUAGUAUUAGUAGUCGAUAGUCGGCGCAUUUUUCGAGGGUAAGCGUCGUAACCGAUACGAAAGGCUAGCGAAGCGACGAGGUUGAGGUCUAGUCUCCUAACGGAAACUAGUUGCCAGCCGAAUUCGCCUGAAUCGUUAGACCGCAGUAUGUAUCGAGCGCCUAUUAAAUAGAGGACGUUCGCCGCGAUGGUUCGUUCGCACGAUGGAAAGUCGAUUAAUUAGUCGGUUUACCUGCAAGCAGGCGCCGUUCUAAUCUAGUCGGUCUUAGAAGUCGUCGACGACGCGACGUCCAGGCGUUAACGGCGUCAGAGUCGGUCACCCGUCCGACCCGUCUUGAAACACGGACCAAGGAGUCUAACAUACGCGCGAGGCAAUAGGUGGAAAACCUAGAGCCGCAAUAAAAGUGAAGACUUAGUUACUAAGUUCGAGGUACGAUCCUAGAAUCUAACGAUAUCUAGGCGCAGUACCGUCUCGUCCCUAAGACACGUUCUAAGGGCGAAGAUAGAGUGCGUACGUUGGGACCCGAAAGAUGGUGAACUAUGCCUGAGCAGAGCGAAGCCAGAGGAAACUCUGGUGGAGGUUCGUAGCGGUUCUGACGUGCAAAUCGAUCGUCAGACUUGGGUAUAGGGGCGAAAGACUAAUCGAACCAUCUAGA